This 379-nucleotide ribosomal RNA is filed under the name uncultured eukaryote. RNAcentral's name for it is "partial 18S ribosomal RNA". It matches the Rfam family "Eukaryotic small subunit ribosomal RNA", at positions 592 to 976 of the family's 1831-position model. The record is from RNAcentral.
CAAUAGCGUAUAUUUAAGUUGUUGCAGUUAAAAAGCUCGUAGUUGGAUUUCGGAUGGGAUUUGCCGGUCCGUCGUUACGAUGUGCACUGGCCAGUCCUAUCUUGUUGUCGGGGACUAGCUCCUUGGAUUAACUUCCUGGGACUAGGAGCUGACGAGGUUACUUUGAGUAAAUUAGAGUGUUCAAAGCAAGCCUUCGCUCUGAAUACAUUAGCACGGAAUAACACGAUAGGACUCUGGCUUAUCUUGUUGGUCUGUGAGACCAGAGUAAUGAUUAAGAGGGACAGUCGGGGACAUUCGUAUUUCAUUGUCAGAGGUGAAAUUCUUGGAUUUAUGAAAGACGAACUUCUGCGAAAGCAUUUGUCAAGGAUGUUUUCAUUAA